Molecule: long non-coding RNA, 252 nt
Organism: Scleropages formosus (Asian bonytongue)
Lineage: Eukaryota; Metazoa; Chordata; Actinopteri; Osteoglossiformes; Osteoglossidae
Exons: 3
Source: RefSeq, a predicted model, not a curated record
CAAAACAACGUUUUCAGGGAAAUUCAUCAGCUGUGAAUUAUCAGGGAUUACGAACCAAGUGGUGCAGCUGCAGCUGGACUUCAAGAAUGUAUUGACGAUGCCCACGCCCGCUAAAGUGUUGACGGUGAUGAAACAAGCUAUCGUAAAUAAUUUGAUCACUGUGGCCAUUAAGCUGACCACCAUUACUGUCGAGGAACUGCCAACCACAACUACAACAACUGCAACACCCACAACUCCGACCACAACGCCAAC